GAUGAACGCUGGCGGCGUGCCUAAUACAUGCAAGUCGAGCGAACAGACGAGGAGCUUGCUCCUCUGACGUUAGCGGCGGACGGGUGAGUAACACGUGGAUAACCUACCUAUAAGACUGGGAUAACUUCGGGAAACCGGAGCUAAUACCGGAUAAUAUAUUGAACCGCAUGGUUCAAUAGUGAAAGACGGUUUUGCUGUCACUUAUAGAUGGAUCCGCGCCGCAUUAGCUAGUUGGUAAGGUAACGGCUUACCAAGGCAACGAUGCGUAGCCGACCUGAGAGGGUGAUCGGCCACACUGGAACUGAGACACGGUCCAGACUCCUACGGGAGGCAGCAGUAGGGAAUCUUCCGCAAUGGGCGAAAGCCUGACGGAGCAACGCCGCGUGAGUGAUGAAGGUCUUCGGAUCGUAAAACUCUGUUAUUAGGGAGGAACAAAUGUGUAAGUAACUAUGCACGUCUUGACGGUACCUAAUCAGAAAGCCACGGCUAACUGCGUG
RNAcentral lists this ribosomal RNA (497 nucleotides) under uncultured bacterium. Its description in RNAcentral is "partial 16S ribosomal RNA". It matches the Rfam family "Bacterial small subunit ribosomal RNA", at positions 28 to 507 of the family's 1533-position model. The record is from RNAcentral.